This is a long non-coding RNA of Xenia sp. Carnegie-2017, 264 nucleotides long. RefSeq lists it as uncharacterized. The record is from RefSeq and is a predicted model, not a curated record. The transcript is spliced from 2 exons. Lineage: Eukaryota; Metazoa; Cnidaria; Anthozoa; Malacalcyonacea; Xeniidae.
UUUGUAUGCCUUUAAAGAUAUUUUAAUCUCAGGUUGCGUUUCAUGUCAUUGAUUUUUAGUCUUCAUUCAUGUAGUGUAUCGGACGCAAGUGUUGAUGCCGCUGUCCGUCAAUUUGUAAUAAAACUGUGUACAGAGGGCAUCAUGAUUGACGUUCAGAUUUAAUGCAACAAAUAUUUAAUGUAACAACAUGAAUAAAGAUUUACAAAUGUUGAAUGACUCGUUUUUUAAGUUUGUUCAUUUUAUCUGAAAGAAAUAUUUUAAGCC